This 30-nucleotide non-coding RNA is filed under the name Mus musculus (house mouse). The record is from RNAcentral. Lineage: Eukaryota; Metazoa; Chordata; Mammalia; Rodentia; Muridae.
UUUGAACUUGGCAUCGCCAUCCUUAGCUGU